AGUGAACGCUAGCGGUAGGCCUAACACAUGCAAGUCGAACGGCAGCACAGUAAGAGCUUGCUCUUACGGGUGGCGAGUGGCGGACGGGUGAGGAAUACAUCGGAAUCUACUUUUUCGUGGGGGAUAACGUAGGGAAACUUACUCUAAUACCGCAUACGCCCUACGGGUGAAAGCAGGGGAUCUUCGGACCUUUCGCGAUUGAAUGAGCCGAUGUCGGAUUAGCUAGUUGGCGGGGUAAAGGCCCAGCAAGGCGACGAUCCGUAGCUGGUCUGAGAGGAUGAUCAGCCACACUGGAACUGAGACACGGUCCAGACGCCUACGGGAGGCAGAAGUGGGGAAUAUUGGACAAUGGGCGCAAGCCUGAUCCAGCCAUACCGCGUGGGUGAAGAAGGCCUUCGGGUUGUAAAGCCCUUUUGUUGGGAAAGAAAAGCAGCAGGUUAAUACCCCGCUGUUCUGACGGUACCAAAAGAAUAAGCACCGGCUAACUUCGUG
This 492-nucleotide ribosomal RNA is filed under the name uncultured bacterium. RNAcentral's name for it is "partial 16S ribosomal RNA". It matches the Rfam family "Bacterial small subunit ribosomal RNA", at positions 29 to 507 of the family's 1533-position model. The record is from RNAcentral.